RNAcentral lists this ribosomal RNA (803 nucleotides) under uncultured Rhodocyclaceae bacterium. RNAcentral's name for it is "bacterial SSU rRNA". It matches the Rfam family "Bacterial small subunit ribosomal RNA", at positions 28 to 826 of the family's 1533-position model. The record is from RNAcentral. Lineage: Bacteria; Pseudomonadati; Pseudomonadota; Betaproteobacteria; Rhodocyclales; Rhodocyclaceae.
AUUGAACGCUGGCGGAAUGCUUUACACAUGCAAGUCGGGCGGCAGCGCGGGGGCAACCCUGGCGGCGAGCGGCGAACGGGUGAGUAACACAUCGGAACGUACCCUGUCGUGGGGGAUAACGAAUCGAAAGAUUCGCUAAUACCGCAUACGACCUGAGGGUGAAAGCGGGGGAUCGCAAGACCUCGCGCGAGAGGAGCGGCCGAUGGCGGAUUAGCUAGUUGGUGGGGUAAAGGCCCACCAAGGCGACGAUCCGUAGCGGGUCUGAGAGGACGGCCCGCCACACUGGGACUGAGACACGGCCCAGACUCCUACGGGAGGCAGCAGUGGGGAAUUUUGGACAAUGGGGGCAACCCUGAUCCAGCCAUUCCGCGUGAGUGAAGAAGGCCUUCGGGUUGUAAAGCUCUUUCGGCAGGAACGAAACGGCGGGCUCUAACAUAGCCUGUCAAUGACGGUACCUGAAGAAGAAGCACCGGCUAACUACGUGCCAGCAGCCGCGGUAAUACGUAGGGUGCGAGCGUUAAUCGGAAUUACUGGGCGUAAAGCGUGCGCAGGCGGCUUUGUAAGACAGGUGUGAAAUCCCCGGGCUUAACCUGGGAACUGCGCUUGUGACUGCAAGGCUCGAGUGCGGCAGAGGGGGGUGGAAUUCCACGUGUAGCAGUGAAAUGCGUAGAGAUGUGGAGGAACACCGAUGGCGAAGGCAGCCCCCUGGGUCGACACUGACGCUCAUGCACGAAAGCGUGGGUAGCAAACAGGAUUAGAUACCCUGGUAGUCCACGCCCUAAACGAUGCCAACUAGGUGUUGG